This is a non-coding RNA of Labrus bergylta (ballan wrasse), 74 nucleotides long. NCBI's taxonomy places the organism in Eukaryota, Metazoa, Chordata, Actinopteri, Labriformes, Labridae. The record is from the annotation of a RefSeq genome assembly.
CCUUCGAUAGCUCAGUUGGUAGAGCGGAGGACUGUAGAUCCUUUAGGUCGCUGGUUCAACUCCGGCUCGAAGGA